GCCGCAGGGCCGCGGGUUAGGCUGCGCGGGAGGGAGAGCAGCUUUCAAGGAGGGUUGAGGCGAGAAGUAUCCUGGGACAGACAGCUACACCAACACUGCAUACAUAAAUAAAGCUAGCAGUGUUCAAGAUCACUGGGAGUUCAGAAAAUGCCACUGUCAUUAUCAGUGGGGCCAAUUCAGAUAUUUCUUGGGAGAGCAAAUUCCAGUCCCUGCCCCUGAUAUCCCUGCCCUUCCAGUCCCCACUUGUCCCCCAUCUUACCCUAGCCUCCUUCCACAGGAAAUCCAGGUUUCCCUCAGCCGGGGAGUCUCUGCUCUCUCUUACUCGCAGAGUGCGUGAGCCGGUGCUGCCAGGAGUCAAGUUCUUAGUUGACAACUCCCCUGCCCUCUGUCACACCCCUCGUGCCAGGUCAAAACACCACUCCGUGAAAUUUGACUUGGACACCCAUCUGGAGGAGGCGUGGCUGGAUCAGAUUUCAGUGGCAUUGCAAUCACACAGCCAGAGUGAUUCUCCAGACCACUCUGGCAGAAGCAGUACUGAUUUAGUACAAGAUCAGUGCUUAGAGUGGUUGGGCCAUGGUCCCCAUGACUCCACAGCCUAUGGAACUUUGAACAAGUGCAAAAAACUUUGGACUAGCACCAUGGUGAUUAUAAAGGAGUUGGAUGGUACCUGAACAUCAGGCUAGGUACACAUCGCCAUCAAAUAUGUCAAGAACUAUAGACUUAAAUAAAAACAAAAAUCUACAGUGCAUAUUUAAAAAGGUGCAACUAUUUCUUCUAAAAUGGGCUGUGUUUACGGUGGCCAACUCUCCAGGAUUGGCCUGGAGUCUCCAGGAAAUAAAGAUUAAUCUUUAAGUAAAAUUAUGUCAUGUGAUUAAUCUCCAGGAAUACGUCCAACCAAAACUGGCAACCCUAGUUGUGGCGUUCUUCUCUCUAAUUGGAUAUAUUAAUAUAACAAUAACCCAGUGAUUGGCCCUCUUCCAUUUUUUUUCCCCCACUCUCACACUCGCUCUUAAACUUGUGUGUGGGGAAGACAGAAUGCACAUGCAAGUGGGUGAGCAGAGCUGCUGGGAUACCAUCUUAGAAGGAAAGGAGAGUGUGCUAUAUAAUAAUAAAACAACAUGUGCCUAACAAGACAUGUGCCUAACAUGACCUCAUAUAUUUAGCUUGUAUUGUAUGUUGUAAUCUCUUCAUAUAUGCUUUGUCUUGCUUGUUUUAUUUAGGCCCCAUUUUUGCCACCAUAUCCACACAGAUCUGAUUGUAAGAUCAGAGCUUUAGAUUGUAACCUUUAGAGCUGAAAUUGUAUCUUCUUUGUGACCUGUAAGGCACAUAGAACAUUUUUUUAUCCUGGAUAAGUAAUGGGAAUAUUUUACUAUGUUUUCUCUGCUUUUGUUAAAUUUUUGUUAA
Mauremys reevesii (Reeves's turtle) is the source of this 1404-nucleotide long non-coding RNA. RefSeq lists it as uncharacterized. The record is from RefSeq and is a predicted model, not a curated record. Lineage: Eukaryota; Metazoa; Chordata; Testudines; Geoemydidae. The transcript has 3 exons.